This 489-nucleotide ribosomal RNA is filed under the name uncultured bacterium. Its description in RNAcentral is "bacterial SSU rRNA". It matches the Rfam family "Bacterial small subunit ribosomal RNA", at positions 30 to 517 of the family's 1533-position model. The record is from RNAcentral.
AUUGAACGCUGGCGGAAUGCUUUACACAUGCAAGUCGAACGGCAGCACGGGGGCAACCCUGGUGGCGAGUGGCGAACGGGUGAGUAAUACAUCGGAACGUGCCCAGUCGUGGGGGAUAACUACGCGAAAGCGUAGCUAAUACCGCAUACGAUCUACGGAUGAAAGCGGGGGAUCGCAAGACCUCGCGCGAUUGGAGCGGCCGAUGGCAGAUUAGGUAGUUGGUGGGGAAAGGCUCACCAAGCCGUCGAUCUGUAGCUGGUCUGAGAGGACGACCAGCCACACUGGGACUGAGACACGGCCCAGACUCCUACGGGAGCAGCAGUAAGGAAUAUUGGACAAUGGUGGAAACACUGAUCCAGCCAUGCCGCGUGCAGGAUGAAUGCCCUAUGGGUUGUAAACUGUCUUUUAUAACGGGAAAAACCCUACUACGUGUAGUAGGCUGAGUGGUACCGUAAGAAUAAGGAUCGGCUAACUUCGUGCCAGCAGCCG